GGGUGAAAAGCCCGCUCGCCGGAAGACCAAGGGUUCCUGUCCAACGUUAAUCGGGGCAGGGUGAGUCGACCCCUAAGGCGAGGCCGAAAGGCGUAGUCGAUGGGAAACAGGUUAAUAUUCCUGUACUUGGUGUUACUGCGAAGGGGGGACGGAGAAGGCUAUGUUGGCCGGGCGACGGUUGUCCCGGUUUAAGCGUGUAGGCUGGUUUUCCAGGCAAAUCCGGAAAAUCAAGGCUGAGGCGUGAUGACGAGGCACUACGGUGCUGAAGCAACAAAUGCCCUGCUUCCAGGAAAAGCCUCUAAGCAUCAGGUAACAUCAAAUCGUACCCCAAACCGACACAGGUGGUCAGGUAGAGAAUACCAAGGCGCUUGAGAGAACUCGGGUGAAGGAACUAGGCAAAAUGGUGCCGUAACUUCGGGAGAAGGCACGCUGAUAUGUAGGUGAAGCGACUUGCUCGUGGAGCUGAAAUCAGUCGAAGAUACCAGCUGGCUGCAACUGUUUAUUAAAAACACAGCACUGUGCAAACACGAAAGUGGACGUAUACGGUGUGACGCCUGCCCGGUGCCGGAAGGUUAAUUGAUGGGGUCAGCGCAAGCGAAGCUCUUGAUCGAAGCCCCGGUAAACGGCGGCCGUAACUAUAACGGUCCUAAGGUAGCGAAAUUCCUUGUCGGGUAAGUUCCGACCUGCACGAAUGGCGUAAUGAUGGCCAGGCUGUCUCCACCCGAGACUCAGUGAAAUUGAACUCGCUGUGAAGAUGCAGUGUACCCGCGGCAAGACGGAAAGACCCCGUGAACCUUUACUAUAGCUUGACACUGAACAUUGAGCCUUGAUGUGUAGGAUAGGUGGGAGGCUUUGAAGUGUGGACGCCAGUCUGCAUGGAGCCGACCUUGAAAUACCACCCUUUAAUGUUUGAUGUUCUAACGUGGACCCGUAAUCCGGGUUGCGGACAGUGUCUGGUGGGUAGUUUGACUGGGGCGGUCUCCUCCUAAAGAGUAACGGAGGAGCACGAAGGUUGGCUAAUCCUGGUCGGACAUCAGGAGGUUAGUGCAAUGGCAUAAGCCAGCUUGACUGCGAGCGUGACGGCGCGAGCAGGUGCGAAAGCAGGUCAUAGUGAUCCGGUGGUUCUGAAUGGAAGGGCCAUCGCUCAACGGAUAAAAGGUACUCCGGGGAUAACAGGCUGAUACCGCCCAAGAGUUCAUAUCGACGGCGGUGUUUGGCACCUCGAUGUCGGCUCAUCACAUCCUGGGGCUGAAGUAGGUCCCAAGGGUAUGGCUGUUCGCCAUUUAAAGUGGUACGCGAGCUGGGUUUAGAACGUCGUGAGACAGUUCGGUCCCUAUCUGCCGUGGGCGCUGGAGAACUGAGGGGGGCUGCUCCUAGUACGAGAGGACCGGAGUGGACGCAUCACUGGUGUUCGGGUUGUCAUGCCAAUGGCACUGCCCGGUAGCUAAAUGCGGAAGAGAUAAGUGCUGAAAGCAUCUAAGCACGAAACUUGCCCCGAGAUGAGUUCUCCCUGACCCUUUAAGGGUCCUGAAGGAACGUUGAAGACGACGACGUUGAUAGGCCGGGUGUGUAAGCGCAGCGAUGCGUUGAGCUAACCGGUACUAAUGAACCGUGAGGCUUAACCUU
This 1626-nucleotide ribosomal RNA is filed under the name Escherichia coli O104:H4 str. Ec11-9450. RNAcentral's name for it is "bacterial LSU rRNA". It matches the Rfam family "Bacterial large subunit ribosomal RNA", at positions 1319 to 2925 of the family's 2925-position model. The record is from RNAcentral. Lineage: Bacteria; Pseudomonadati; Pseudomonadota; Gammaproteobacteria; Enterobacterales; Enterobacteriaceae.